GUACACGGUGGAUGCCUGGGCAGUCAGAGGCGAUGAAGGACGUACUAACUUGCGAUAAGCGCAGAUAAGGCAGUAAGAGCCGUUUGAGUCUGCGAUUUCCGAAUGGGGAAACCCAACUGCAUAAGCAGUUACUGUUAACUGAAUACAUAGGUUAACAGAGCAAACCGGGGGAACUGAAACAUCUAAGUACCCCGAGGAGAAGAAAUCAACCGAGAUUCCGGUAGUAGCGGCGAGCGAACCUGGAUUAGCCCUUAAGCACUCGGUGAAGUAGGUGAACAAGCUGGAAAGCUUGGCGAUACAGGGUGAUAGCCCCGUAACCGACGCUUCA
Molecule: ribosomal RNA, 328 nt
Filed under: Vibrio cholerae
Lineage: Bacteria; Pseudomonadati; Pseudomonadota; Gammaproteobacteria; Vibrionales; Vibrionaceae
Description: partial 23S ribosomal RNA
Rfam family: Bacterial large subunit ribosomal RNA
Source: RNAcentral